Molecule: ribosomal RNA, 403 nt
Filed under: uncultured bacterium
Lineage: Bacteria
Description: bacterial SSU rRNA
Rfam family: Bacterial small subunit ribosomal RNA
Source: RNAcentral
GGGAUAUUGGACAAUGGGGGGAACCCUGAUCCAGCGACGCCGCGUGAGUGAAGAAGUAUCUCGGUAUGUAAAGCUCUAUCAGCAGGGAAGAAAGAAAUGACGGUACCUGAGUAAGAAGCCCCGGCUAACUACGUGCCAGCAGCCGCGGUAAUACGUAGGGGGCAAGCGUUAUCCGGAAUUACUGGGUGUAAAGGGUGCGUAGGUGGUUCAGCAAGUUAGUAGCGUAACUCCGGAGCUCAACUUCGGCACUACUACUAAAACUGUUGGACUUGAGUGCAGGAGGGGCAACUGGAAUUUCUAGUGUAGCGGUGGAAUGCGUAGAUAUUAGGAAGAACACCGGUGGCGAAGGCGAGUUGCUGGACUGUAACUGACACUGAGGCACGAAAGCGUGGGGAGCAAACAG